This 328-nucleotide small nuclear RNA is filed under the name Anolis carolinensis (green anole). Its description in RNAcentral is "7SK RNA". It matches the Rfam family "7SK RNA". Rfam says of the family: 7SK was discovered as an abundant small nuclear RNA in the mid-70s but a possible function has only recently been suggested. Two independent studies have found that 7SK RNA binds the CDK9/cyclin T complex (known as elongation factor P-TEFb). Lineage: Eukaryota; Metazoa; Chordata; Lepidosauria; Squamata; Anolidae. The record is from Rfam by way of RNAcentral.
GGAAGUGAGGGCGAUCUGGCUGCGACAUCUGUCACCCCAUUGAUCGCCAGGGUUGAUUUGGCUGAUCUGGCUGGCUAGGCGGGUGUCCCCUUCCUCCCUCACCACUCCAUGUGCGUCCCUCCCGAAGCUGCGCGCUCGGUGGAAGAGGAUGACGUCCCAGGUAUAGAAGGAGUGUACCGAGGUCUCCAGUCUUCGGUCCCGGGUAUACGAUAGCUGCGCUCCCCUGCUAGAACCUCCAUUGCCACCCAAACAAAUCAAUGGGAUUUUCCCUUUCUUGUUUAACAUGCAGUGUGAGGUUUAAAAGAAUUGAAACAAUUGUGAUGUCAUU